RNAcentral lists this ribosomal RNA (497 nucleotides) under uncultured bacterium. RNAcentral's name for it is "partial 16S ribosomal RNA". It matches the Rfam family "Bacterial small subunit ribosomal RNA", at positions 28 to 507 of the family's 1533-position model. The record is from RNAcentral.
GACGAACGCUGGCGGCGUGCCUAAUACAUGCAAGUUGAGCGCUGAAGGUUGGUACUUGUACCAACUGGAUGAGCAGCGAACGGGUGAGUAACGCGUGGGGAAUCUGCCUUUGAGCGGGGGACAACAUUUGGAAACGAAUGCUAAUACCGCAUAAAAACUUUAAACACAAGUUUUAAGUUUGAAAGAUACAAUUGCAUCACUCAAAGAUGAUCCCGCGUUGUAUUAGCUAGUUGGUGAGGUAAAGGCUCACCAAGGCGAUGAUACAUAGCCGACCUGAGAGGGUGAUCGGCCACAUUGGGACUGAGACACGGCCCAAACUCCUACGGGAGGCAGCAGUAGGGAAUCUUCGGCAAUAGACGAAAGUCUGACCGAGCAACGCCGCGUGAGUGAAGAAGGUUUUCGGAUCGUAAAACUCUGUUGGUAGAGAAGAACGUUGGUGAGAGUGGAAAGCUCAUCAAGUGACGGUAACUACCCAGAAAGGGACGGCUAACUACGUG